RNAcentral lists this ribosomal RNA (468 nucleotides) under uncultured bacterium. Its description in RNAcentral is "partial 16S ribosomal RNA". It matches the Rfam family "Bacterial small subunit ribosomal RNA", at positions 28 to 507 of the family's 1533-position model. The record is from RNAcentral.
GACGAAUGCUGGCGGCGUGCUUAACACAUGCAAGUCGAACGGAAAGGCCCUGCUUUUGUGGGGUGCUCGAGUGGCGAACGGGUGAGUAACACGUGAGUAACCUGCCCUUGACUUUGGGAUAACUUCAGGAAACUGGGGCUAAUACCGGAUAGGAGCUCCUGCUGCAUGGUGGGGGUUGGAAAGUUUCGGCGGUUGGGGAUGGACUCGCGGCUUAUCAGCUUGUUGGUGGGGUAGUGGCUUACCAAGGCUUUGACGGGUAGCCGGCCUGAGAGGGUGACCGGCCACAUUGGGACUGAGAUACGGCCCAGACUCCUACGGGAGGCAGCAGUGGGGAAUAUUGCACAAUGGGCGGAAGCCUGAUGCAGCAACGCCGCGUGCGGGAUAACGGCCUUCGGGUUGUAAACCGCUUUCGCCUGUGACGAAGCGUGAGUGACGGUAAUGGGUAAAGAAGCACCGGCUAACUACGUG